This 1081-nucleotide long non-coding RNA is filed under the name Canis lupus familiaris (dog). RNAcentral describes it as "lncRNA (ENSCAFG00030008469.1)". Lineage: Eukaryota; Metazoa; Chordata; Mammalia; Carnivora; Canidae. The record is from RNAcentral.
CACGAGUCCGAGCUUUUCCUUGACCCCCGCCCCCCGCCCCUUGAGCCUCAGCUCUGCCGGCGUUUCCUUCCAAAGGGAUCCGGAGGUGAUGGCGGUUUUAAAAGCCCUCGCACUGGAGGCGCCUACAAAUCUUCACGCCCGUAGGAACGGAGACGCGGACAACCUUCCUGGCAGCGGAAGCCUCCCAGCCAAACCCCUCCUCGGUCAACUUGGCUUUCUAUUUAAUUUUCUUCUUUAACCCUACAGGCCCAUCAGUCCCCGGCAGCAGGCAGGGAAGAAGCUCCUAUUCUCAGUUGUGGCCGCUCCUCUCUUCCUCUGGCUGAAAGCCCCUCCCCCUAUUCUCCCCUGAAUUUGGAAAAUCUUUCUACCUCCCGCUCGGAUUUAGGUGGGGACGAGGCUGAGAGGUGCUGGAAGAAGAGCCACGCCAAGGCACGGCCUCAGAAAUCCACCUCCCCGGGCAGCCCUUGGCGAAGGUGUCUGCUCCGAGGAAACUUUGCGGGGAGGAAGUGGCGGCCGAGCGGAGCUGGGCAGGCCGAGCGCCAGGGCUUCGAGGACCUCUGCAGCUGGGGACCUGCCUGCAGAAAGCACAAAGUUGCGCAGCGUGGAGAUAGCGCCGGGUCCCCUUGCUCCCGCGCGGGGCGCGUGGCUCUGCCCGGGACUCCAUUCAGACAGCUCUCUGGAACCGGGGCUCUGGACCGCCCUGCGAGUUCCCUCCGAGUUGAAAGGUGUCCGACUUUGCAGGGAAGACGGCGCCAAGAACGCCGAACGCGCGGUUGCCGAGGCGCAAAAGUGGAACAAGUGGAUGAUUCGGUGCAAAAAAAAAAAAAGAAAAAAGAAAGAAAGAAAGAAAGAAACUUGUGUUGAAAGGAGCUCUAGCAGCGCUACUCACAGCUCAGAAACGGAUCCAGAGCCUUCGACCAGCUCAGAAACGCAUCCAGAGCCUUCGAAGGUGAGCCCUGGCCGCGCCCACGGUCUGCGGGCCAAUAGCUACCAGUUUCAUGAAGGAAGCUGCUUUGGAUUCGGUGCGAGCCAACUCUGGAGGAUGCCCAGACCGAGAGGGAUUGUCGGUUUUGGAGCGUGA